GUCAUAUCUUAGUUAAUGUGGAGAGUCAGAAAACAGACCUUGCUGUUCGAAAGUCUUCUUAAAUUUUAUUUUUCAUUUUUCUCGUCAUUUUCCUAUAUUUGUCCGUUCUGGUGGAACCGAGGAACGAGAGAAGCAUUUGGUAAGUGUGGACAAUAGGCGUGUGGCGCUCCAGGACCGCGUUGUGUCAAUCUUUUCGGCUCUGCGGUGCAGUGAGGUGAUGUGCAGCGACCAAACCCGGACCCACAGCAUGUCCAAACCGAUUAGGGGUCAGGGACGACUGAAGCAAGACCUCUACAAUUAUAUUCCUUACAGCAGUCUCCAACCAAAAAUAUGACCUCUAAAUCCCAGACUAACUCAACGAAUCUAAAACUGUUGACUUGUGGGUAAAUAAAGUGUUCAGGAAUAAUUAUCAGUACAUCAGUGCAACCACGUCAAAUGAAAUGCUCCUGUGAGCAUAAAAAGCGAACAUAAUCCAGCAGCUUCAAUAUUGACCAACAACUCAACAUAAACAUUUUUCUUGACUUUCCAACUCUGCGGAAGACUGGCAAGAGAAAUUCGAUUGAGGUUAUAGAUCUCGUAGUCCCAUCACUGGAACAGCUGUUAUUUCUCCCCUAAACCCGAUAAUCAAACACAGACACGGCGACCGUUUAGGCCUGGCAUACCAGACCAAGGAUUAACAGUCUUUUAUAUUCAAAUUUAACUAUACCACACGACUAAAUCAGAAUAAGCAUUCAUUUAUAAAAUUGCUUCCACAAAUUUGAUUAUCAACGAAUCAGAUAUAUCUGUCACAUUAAGUCUUAACACUUUGUUUACAUUUGAGAUGGAUGGAAAAUGUGCUACUUAGGAAGGAAAGCGCGAUGAUGACUCACCACCAUGAUGCAAUUAAUUUUUUUUCCCCUAUGGAAAGCGAUGUGCUUAUUAAAAUCAACAUUUAAAAUGUAUAAUAGGCUAAUUUUAUAGGCUAUUAUCUUAUGCAAAAGAAUAACCGUUCUUGAUGCAGGUAAACAUCAACAAAAACUAUAAGAAAAUCUACCUCAUUAUCUCAUUAGCGACAGCCAACCAAAGAGCAGUGACAAGAAAUUAUUAUAUUAUUCCCCGCUGGGCCCGAAUGGAAACGAGCAGUCUUUGAGAGUGGUCGCUCUAGUUUAGAUUAAUGGUUCCCAACGCUUAUUCUGCAGUGCGGGUGAAAGGGCCAGGAUCACUAAUGAUUAUAAUAUAAUGUGUGGUGAUAACCACUCCCUUUGAGAUAUUAUCGCGCAGUGGGCAAUGCUCAGGGGACGGGCUGCGGGGCUGAAAAUCAGCAGAUAGCUACUAAACAGGAGCAGAUUUCUGCACUGAAGCUCCAAGAGCAUGCACGAGUACAGUCCUGUCUGCUGCUGAUAUCAACAGCCAGGGGCUGAAUUAAAACAUUCUAUUUUUAUUUUUUUUUGCAAGCUAAGAAUGACUUUUUUCCCCUUAAAAAAAGAAAAGAAAGAAAGAACGAAAACAACAACAAAAAAAAAAGCCAAGGACUAUUCUGUGAAUAGCUGCCAUUAAAUACUGACUACAAAUGAUGAACUUGGGGGAACAGAUUAUUAUUUUUUUCUGUGUGAUGACGAUUUAAGAUGCGUUACUUACAUCUGAUUAUUGUACAAUAAACGAGGUUGGCUCUUUAAAAGCUGUAAGAUAAUCUUAACUAACAUCCUACGUUAUUUUUGGAGGGCCUGUUCACAAACCAGACCGCUUGUUUUGUAGAACCGGUGCAACAUAAUGAAUCUGUCAGGCCCAAAGGUAUUGAAUUACCAACCAAACUUUCCUCAAUAUAAAAAUAGCGCGUAGAGAUGCUAAAUAUCUUCGAGGCGCUUAAAGUUAUAGGCUACUUAAAGAUUUCUCAAAUGAAUAAAAAAUGUUUACGGCUAUGAUAAGACAGGGUUUCAGAAAUAGUAAAGCUCAACUUCAUAUAGUCUAUAGAAAUGAAUUAAAGUGACCGAAGAUAAACGCGUUUAAUGUGACUGCACGAGAUGUGGAUCUUACAUUAUGGCUACAGUAGAAAACGUAACAGAUGCAAACAGAAGAGCAUUACAAUGGCAGACAUCAAAAUUUGCAAUAAUCAACAUGCAUUAGUAGCAUAUUAAGUGCCGCUUUGCAUCUGAUAAACUGUGAAAGCAAGAGGAAAGAUCCGUUUAAACGACACACAUUAGAUUUAGAUACAUGUGAUCUGAAGCGCUGGCUUGUCUACGAACGUUUUCACGUGAUAGACCAAUAUGUUUUUAGGAAACGUGCAGAAGUGAUGAAGAACUUCAUUGGUGCGACUAGCAGAAAAUAUAACAACCACUUGAAACUCAAAGAAUAGGCCUACCUAUAGCCUUUAAAUUGACAAAAAUGUAAACGGAUGCUAAUCGAUGUAAUCCAAGUUCAGAAACAAAAAAAUACGAACAGACCGGACACAUCCCUUCUCAUGGCAAUCGACUGCCAUGGAUCAAUAAUAAAGCUGCCUGACUAACUUCUCCGAGAGUCUGCAGUGAACACAGGAAAAGGGGGGUGAUCCUAAAGGACCACGAGAGACAAGACCCCGGCAAUCCCUCCUCAUUCAUCUUCAUUGCCUUUGUGUGCACAAAAAGCAAGCCCUGCAUAAGGUAAAGCCACCAUCAAAGCCAUGGCUUUAUUUUAUAUCCUAUAGAUCAGGAGGGAGACAAAGCUUUAUUUUCGCCAGGAGAGAGAUAUUUUACCUCCGCCGUACGGUUUUAUGUUGGAGAGGUGUCAGACAGACGAAAUGAAUGGCUAAUGCAUAGGCAAAACGCACUCACCCCAGCAUGCCUCACGUCAGCAGGCGCUGUCGGGAUUUAGGGCCGGUGGAAGCCGAGCGCGUGUUUGAGCACGAGCAUAUAAAUACGUGAUGUUCUCGACUAGUCCAGAUACAUGUGCCUACAGUGCCAUUUUUAAACCUAUACGACCAGUGAUAGUUAUAGUAAUAGUUAAGGAGAUUUAUAAAUGGAUUCCUCGCCAUACUCCGAAUCUCCUCACUGUUAGUCAUCACCACCACAUGAGCCCGGUCUCAUGAAAAUGCGUGUAAAUUGUACGCCAAAUACAAACAGAAAAUCGUGCUAUUGAUACGCAGAAAUGGAUUUGCAUAUACUUGUUAAAAUACGUAGUUUUCGCGUACAUAUGAUACGCAUCUACCCCACAACCCUAAUCCAACCCACUGCGUAUCAUAUGCACGCCAAAGUCUAUUUCUGCGUAUAAAUAGUACGCCAAAUCGAAACAUAGACUCCUGCUAUUGAUACGCACUUUCAUGAGAUCGGGUAGUUUUAAAUAGAAAUAUAUGGUAGUAAUUUAUGGUUAGGACUUGAAUAUAAACAACAGGCAUGCUUUUGAGCUUCGUUGAGGAUGCUUGGUCUUAUGAGGUUGUGAAUAAAUUAUAUCGCACUGCUAAUAAUCUCAUUUUGCACCAGCCUCUUAUCCUACUUGGGAUCCCCUCCAAAUUAUGCAGCGUUUUCAAUUCGUUAUAUGGGCAACAUUUUAUUUUAAUGGGACAGUUUAUUUCAGGGAGUGGAUUAUAUGCAUUGACUGUGGCUAUCUCAGUCACAAACAGUGAGCAUGUAGUGUAUCCGCCAUCAUUUCUGUGUCCAUCUACUUAUGUUCUGUCAAGUAUUAGUUCAGGAUAUAUUUUGCUAACCUUUUUAGCAAAUGCCGACCUCAAAAAAAAAAAAAAAAAAAAAAGAGGAGCUUUCUGGAUUUCUAGAAUCUUUUACUCAUCUUGGCUUAGAUACUGUAUAAAGCAAACUAGUACCGUGCACUGAUAAAGAAAAUUAUUGUUAGAUGAUGACAUUGGCCUCUGAAAACCAAGACUUUCUAAACCGUUCCAAUUUGAAAGGGACAAAAGUUGAACUGAACUGCUCACAUAGAGAAAAAAAUACUACAUGCUGCACCGAAAAGAAAAUAUUCUCAUUUUCAGCAGACAACAAAAGCCAAGAAACUGGUUAGAAUGCUGAAUGCCAGACAAACCCAUUUUUGCUGCGGGCCCUCCUGUUGUUCCAGGGCCAUUAGUUGAAUGAGGUGCUGCUCCACUGUACUCCAGCAGUUCCUCACUGUACGUUUGGUGAGAUAUCUCGGCUGCUUUACUCACAGACUACAGACUUUCAUAUUCCUCCUGCUGUGUCUGGAGAGCUGAAACAGAGGGUGGGCAUGCAAAUAGUUUUCUCUGUACGGUGAGCUCAGAUGAGACCGUUACCUUGUUUGGAACUGUUUUUCCUCUUGUGUGUUUGUGCCUGAGUGGGCCAUCAGGUAGGCAUGGUGGGAGGCAGGGCUGUAGGAACGGGGAGUGAUGGGUUGAAAAGGUGAAGAGGUCAUGACCUCUGGGUGUUUUAUGAGAGACUGAGGCUGAUUUGUCUUCAGCGGAGCAUGCUGUUGGCAUCUUCACACCCUUGAGUUGCUGGCUGGCAAGGCAGGUCGGGAUAGGGGGGUUGCUGGCUGUAAAUUAGCACACUGGCAUAGUGACAGGCAGUCAGGGCCAUGGGAAUGGCACCCACCUUGACCUGUUUGCGGGUCUGCCGGGUCCAGAUGGCAGGGACCGCUGGAGCAGACCUUAGUUUGAAAAUACCAUCUAAAAGAGCACACACCCUUAAGGCAUCCUAAUCACACUGUGUCUGAACAGAUUGCAGUGUAACUCUCCCCAUUGAUGAAGCUGUAUCUAAAUUUCAUCUAUACGUAACUUGAUAAAUAGGCUUCACAUACAAUUACAAAUUACAGUCCUCUGGGGGAAAAAAAAUGUAAUAAAAGCAAAAAGAUAUAUACAAAAUUAAGCAUUAUAUAAUAUCAAAAAUAAUUAUAUUAAAAUAUAACAAAAAUGCAGUUAUACAUGUAUGUAUAGACCAGGCUGAAAAUCACACUUUCAGUCUUUCAGUUUUCAUUCAAGAAUAAUUUAUUGCAAAUUAGAAUAUAAUUAUAAAAAAUAAGUAUACAUAAUGUAUGUAGUUAAUGUUUUUUUUUUUUUCAUUUAGUACUGUCCUGAACAAUAUAUUUUACGUAAAAGAUGUUUAUAUGUAGUCCACAAGACAAAAUGAUGGCUGAAUUCAUAAAAAUUACCCCGUUGAACAGUUUACAAAAGCUUUUUUUUUUUGUGAUGAUUGUUCAUGAAUCCCUUGCCGGUCCUGAACUGUUAAACUGCUCACCGUUCUUCUGAAAAAUCCCACAUAUUGUUUGAAUUUCCAGCAUCUUUUGCAUAUUUGAAACCUUUCCCGCAGUGACUGUUUUUUUUUAAUCCAUUGAGUUCUAUCUAUCUGUCUGUCUAUCUGUCUAUCUAUCUAUCUAUCUAUCUAUCUAUCUAUCUAUCUAUCUAUCUAUCUAUCUAUCUAUCUAUCUAUCUAUCUAUCUAUCUAUCUAUCUAUAUAUAUAUAUGUGUGUGUGUAUAACGUAUAUACACAUUGUGUAUAUACGUUAUAUAUUAAAUGUAUUAUGUGAAUGCUCUAGUGUACAUGUCAAUGCCCUGGUGUAUAAAUAAAAAAAUGCUAAAUUUCA
This is a long non-coding RNA of Onychostoma macrolepis, 5496 nucleotides long. RefSeq lists it as uncharacterized. The record is from RefSeq and is a predicted model, not a curated record. The transcript has 2 exons. NCBI's taxonomy places the organism in Eukaryota, Metazoa, Chordata, Actinopteri, Cypriniformes, Cyprinidae.